Long non-coding RNA from Hibiscus syriacus, 215 nucleotides. RefSeq lists it as uncharacterized. NCBI's taxonomy places the organism in Eukaryota, Viridiplantae, Streptophyta, Magnoliopsida, Malvales, Malvaceae. The transcript has 2 exons. The record is from RefSeq and is a predicted model, not a curated record.
GUCUGUCAAGAAAAUCAAAACAUAUGUCCAUAUAUUAGUCAUCGAAUUCUUACAGUAAGCACAUUUCUAUUCACGCAUCUUUAUCAUGCAACGACAUAUAAUUUCUGUCACAAGAGAAACAGGAACCAUAGGCUCCUAAAGGCAUGCUCAUCAUAGAAUUUGUCAAAGUAUGAAAAGUAUACAAUCAGAAAUCAACACCAAAUAAACAAUAAUAU